Molecule: long non-coding RNA, 1774 nt
Filed under: Homo sapiens (human)
Lineage: Eukaryota; Metazoa; Chordata; Mammalia; Primates; Hominidae
Description: HSALNT0265524
Source: RNAcentral
AGAAAGUGAAAAGAGACUGUUUUAUCUCUACUCACCUGUUUUCUUUCAUUCUUUUCUCCCUCUUAACAUAUUAAAUUUAGAAAUACAGAAUUCUUUCUUCAUGUACAUUACCCAAGAGUUUCCUUUACCUACCCUCCUCCAAAUGACUGAGCUCUCAAAGACUAGAGAGAAGUCAGGGUAGAGGCUAAUAUUUUCUUCAGACUUGAUGAUUCAUGCAAGCCUUUUACAUAAGAGAGCUCACUUUGUUUUUGGGAAAACUGGGGUGAGGGACAUUGAUGGCUCACCCAACCCUUCUGAUCACAAUCUAGGCCCUCUGACCCAAAUCUUGACCUGUUUUCAUUUUAUAAUUUUCUUUUUUUCCCAAAAGGCAUUCCUUUAGUUAGAUGGAGAAGUUAUCAGAAACCUGGGAGAAAAGAAAAUACUCAGAGAAAGCCUAAGCGACCGUAUACACUGGGAGCUGAGGGUCCAUUAGCUCUCCUUGCAAGGAAGCUUCAGUUUUCUCAUCUGGAAAAGGGGGAUAAUAGCAGAAGCCACCUCUUCAGACUAGCUUCUCAGCAUUACAGCUGAGAAAGUUCUCAACAUUUUACACAGAGAGAUGCAUUAUACUAUGUUUUAUAAUUUGUCCUCUCAACUCUUACUUAAAACAACCUUCUUAAAAAAAUAAACACAUUUGCUCAAAAUGACACCACACAUUUGAAAAGAUUAUUUCUCAUCUCUAUACAUGAUAUAGUAGCUGUGCUGAGCUCUGGGCCAAAGACUGCUCCAGAAUUGGAAAACAUGUUCUACCCACUUGUGACUCUCCCUAGCCAAGAGCCAGACCUUGUCUUCAAUUCCAUGGCUUUCCCUUCGUUUGAAGGUUAAAGUCAGCAUUUCACUUUUACUGCUGUUAAUAACUCCCAACUUUUCCAUAUUUCCAUUUUUUUCUAAACUCUUUACUACAUGCUAACACUGCCUUCAUUUUUUCUCUGCCCUCUUCCUGAGGUCACUUGGUCCUAGAAGCCUCAGGUUCCAAAUGUUUUUGCAACCUCCCCUUUACCCUCCCCGGUAACAUGCUGUUCACCAUUCCACUUUCUGAUUUCCUUUUCUGUUCCUUUAGUAGUCUCUGCACUUCCCCUCCUCUCCCAUCUGUAAAGCCAUCUUUCUUCCAAGUGAUGUUCUCCAGGUGACCUGAAUCUGGCAGAAGCCUCCUCCAUCCAUCUUUUUAGAAGGACCCUCAGUUGCCAGAGCCAGUCUGACACCUUCUUCCAUACCAGCUGCUUCAGACCAGCCUGGGGGCCUGCUCUGGGGGUGGAACCAUUGUCAAGUUUCACCCAUCAGCUAAAAACAUGCCACUUGGAUUCAUUGCAGGUAACCAAGAAAGUCAUACUCUUUAAGCUCACCAACAUAGUUACAUAGUUCAUAAAAAAUAUUGCUCCAUUUUCCAAGGGACUUUCUUAGUUGACGAGUGGGAGCAGAGGUCCCCAUAAUCAGCAGCUGGUUUGCUCAUUGCUGGGAAACACAGAAGACAGGUCGGUCACUGGACAGGGGGUGCAGAACCCAGCGCUGGAGUGCACAGAGGAUGCAGACACACACAGAGAGAAGAACGUGUAAGAUGUCCAUCUGCAAGACAAGGAGAGAGGCUUCAGGAGAAAGCAACCCUGCUCACACUUUGAUCACAGACUUGUGGCCUCCAGAAUGGUAUAAACUCAAGAGUGAACUCUUUAUGCCAUGUAAGCCACACAGGCUGCAGGUAUUAGAAAAAGAGCUGCAGUACUCUUCUGAAAAGUCAUCUCUG